UAUGAAGAACAGCAAACAAAAAUCAAGGAAUAGCAGAGUAAACUAGGGGCUUCCCAGGUGCUGCUACCGGUAAAGAAUCCAACAGCCAAUGGAGGAGACACAGAAGAAAGCCAGAAAGAAAUCAAACGGUUGCUUCAAAAAAAUCUGUAUUAUUCUAAACUUUGACAUAACUGAGGAUGAAACUGAGAAAAAUACUUCAGACUGAAUCUUCUUUGGAAAGGCACACUGCUUUUGUUGGUAAUGGAAAACUAAUGGCUGUAAGGGCCAAAUAUGACUCCUAGGUUCGGAGAGAAUAGAAAGAAAAGUCUUCACUUAAAGGUAAGAUUGUGCUUCACCCAGUUUUCAUGCAUCUUUAGAGCCUACCUUUCUUGAAG
Molecule: long non-coding RNA, 374 nt
Filed under: Bos indicus x Bos taurus (hybrid cattle)
Lineage: Eukaryota; Metazoa; Chordata; Mammalia; Artiodactyla; Bovidae
Description: lncRNA (ENSBIXG00000017195.1)
Source: RNAcentral